Capsicum annuum is the source of this 3815-nucleotide RNA transcript. It is a transcript of the gene named structural maintenance of chromosomes protein 1-like, with no coding region annotated. Lineage: Eukaryota; Viridiplantae; Streptophyta; Magnoliopsida; Solanales; Solanaceae. The record is from RefSeq and is a predicted model, not a curated record. The transcript is spliced from 7 exons.
UCAUAUCUAAAAAAAAAUAAUUCAGCUCAGUUCACAAAACCUGGACUUUAAAAAACAUUCAAAAUUUCUAAUAUUCUUUAAUUAAUAAUCAAAAAUAAAAUUUUACAUCUAAGAGAGGAAGACAGUCGAGACUGCCGCCAGCGAGGAAGACGGUCGAGAUUGUCGCCGGCGAGGUAGAGACAACCCUAUCGCCGUGAGGGGAAGGGGUCUGGUGCUUAUCAUCCACCAGAGGGGUUGACCAGUAGGAGUAGCCAGCAACCCUGGGUUUCCUCCUCAAGCGUUUUUCGAUUCAACCUUUACUUGUUGAAUUCCCGCAGUCUGUCAAUGGGCUUUCCAUUCUAGGAGGCGUACGUAGAUUUGCCUCCACCCAUUGCUCAGAUUUAGGUUGAUUUCUUGAUUACCGAGGGUUACCCCUACCGACCAAGAAACAUUAGGCUGCUGGUAUAGACCAUUCACUACUACUUUACGCAAUCCAAGUAACCACUUUGCUAAGUUCAUUCCCAGAUAUAGUGGUAAAAGUAGGUGAAUGCACUAAUACCUGAGUCAUCUUGUCAUUUUUUAAUUGGUUCUACCUUAGAUUCAGUUUCCUGGAUGCUUUGGAUGCUUACCAUGCCUACUAUCUGAACUCGUGGCUGUGAAAAAGGCUUCUGGGAAGUAUCCUGCAAUUUUAGUCCAUGCUUCUCCUAACGAUAAGACAAUACUGGAUCUGAAUAAAGACGAAUCGGAUCCUACGGGCAUCGCGGGUUUACGAAGCAAUAUUAUUGAAAUUGGGGGGAGAUUUAAGAGUGGGAUAUCUAACUUUUCCAAGAAUAUUCCUGUAUCGGAGAUCACUAAAAUGACGUCCAACUUACUGCAACUGGGAGAAGAGGAGGAGGAAGAUUCAGAUUUUGACUUACCUGAUGCACAACAAGAGCAUGCAUUAGCUGUUAAGCGUCUUGCUCCAAGACUGGCCGCUUUGAGAAUUGAACUCUGCCUAAGUUACAUGAGUGAAGAUCGCUUUUGGGAGAUUUACUUUGCACUCCAGCACCCUAGACUGGAUAAAUAAGAUACGGAACUUUUAGCCACACCCCAGAUUCUUUCUCUGGAACAUGAACGCUUGGAUCUAUAAUGUUGGCUUAUUCAAGCAGUGACCUAUGCAUAAUGAAACUUGCCAACAACCAGAGAGAAAUAUGAUAUCAGGAAUGCAGCCAGUAGCUAAUCAACCAUCGAAUUAAUUCCUAUAACUUGAAUUUUCUGUCAAUUCAUGAAUGUUAAACACACAAUGUGACAAAUUAGUAAGAAUGAAGCAGGCAACAACACAACACUGAAGAAAAAAGUUUUGAAUCCAAAAAAAGCUCAAAGUCCUUAGAAGAUAAAGUUGUACAACAUUAAGAGUUGUUCAAGUACUAUGCUGCAAGAAUCAUUAUGUUUUCUAUUGUUUUGGUGCACCAUUCCAUUCCUGGACCUCCAAACAUGAUAUAUAACUGCUCUCCAAAGUGCAGCGGUGACUUCCUUCUGGAACCUAUUGCAUUAUUUCCUCUUAAUUCUCCCUAUGACUUGUUUUGAACUUCUUGUGGAAAUAUGAAUACCGGCCGGCUGUGUAUUUUUUUGUCUCACUCCUAAUCCACACACAAGUAUCAAAGAGAUGGCUAUGCGUCUCUACGAUCAAAUCAUCUCAUAGUUAACAAGUAGCCUCCUCCACUAGAAUCCGGAUUCUGCUUAGUAUUUCCUUAGUCAGUAGUCCGUCUAGUACUGCGAAUCAUAGUAUAAAAUAUUAAUCUAUGCUUGGGUUUAUCUACUCUGGUCCAUAUCAGCAGCUACUCUGAGCCUACUCUGCACCCCUAAUGGAGCAUUAUAGCUCUUACUUAUUCAGUAUUGUGCUCCUGGAUUAAGUAGAUAAUUACCUUGACCAUAUCAUGCCUGCAUAUGUCCACUUUUAAAGAGUUCACCCUCUUCCUAUACCAUCUGGAAUCUAGUUGAGGAGUAUGAGUCCAUAUACUAACAGGGCUCAUGUCACUAAGGUUCUUGAAAUCAGCUAAACUAUAGUAACGUGGCAAUGCAUGGAAAAAGCAAAGGUACUUAAGUUGGUCUGAGGUGAGAUUGGUAAGUGAGGGAUUUUUGAAUGAGGUAAAGGCUGAGUCUUUGGGAACAAAACGUGUGAUUCCUUGUUCUAUGUUGUUAGCUUGUGUUUGGAAAGUCUCAAUAACUUUAGUCUAUCCGGAGUAGUUAAGGAACGUGUGGAAAGGGCCGACAGAGAGUAAGUCCAUUAGGUUUGUGAAUUCAAGACCUCGUGUUGGUGCUGGAGCCAUGAUUGGAGCUUCAUUCGCUUUUCCUUUCACGACUACAGUUGACAAUUGAAGGACUAGCAGUUGACCUUUUUUGAGAAAGAAAAAAAGUCAACUAUAGCAGUAGACUACUAAGCAGAAAGUUUGCAUCUUUAGCUAAAAUUAGCUCAGAGUUUGCAUUUUUAGCUAAAAUUAGUGCAUUUGGCUUGUAUAUCAUGUGUGCUGUUGUUGAUCCCAUAGAUCCAGGAGUUUUUAAAUCCAAGAAGUAUCUAAAGAAACUAGACAAGAAAAAGCAAGUCCAAGUUAAAGAAUCUAAAUCAGAAAGUGAGACGAAUUCGUCUAUCUAGGAUGCUAAUGCUGCAUCAAUUGGGGAAAAUGCAUCUGCAAAAAGCAAUAAAGGAACUGAACCAGCUGCAUAUCAUAAUGAAACUGAACAAGAAGUUACAGCUACUCGUCAAAGAUCUCGCUCUUCCAGAUUGUUGGCUCUACUACCUUGUGCUCUUAUCCGCAACUGUGCAGGUAAACAUACUGAAUCUUCUCAGCAAUAGUUGAGUGAAGAUGGCAUGUUCUACUGCAGUUUGUGUGAAGUAGAGGUAUUUAAAUAAAGCAAGCAUUGUAUAGUAUGACAUUAGAUGGACUGUUAUAGGCUCAACAACUGCUUUUACAUUAUCAUCUUCUCUCUCAGAUUGCCUAGGCAUAGGCGAAAUGUGAAAGCAUGGAAUGUUUGCAUUGGCACAUGAUCGGCAUUUUAUAUGUUCUUUUCGAUAUUAAUUUUCUUGAUCUAUCUAAAUAUUCGAGUGCUAGUUUUUAUUUGUUGAAGACGUGUGGUUUUGGUUUUACAGUAAAGAGGAAGCUGGCAUGAAAACUGCGAAACUAAGAGUUGAGAAAGAGGUCUUGGAUAGGCAGCAACUUGCUGAUAUUGAUGCUCAGAAAAAUCUAAUAGAAAAUCUUCAGCAACUUGAAAAUUGGAAGCAUGAGUUUGUGUCUCAAGAGAAACAGAUGCAAGAAAGGUUGAAGAAAAUUCUUGAUGCAGUUAAGAAGCAUGACGAAGAACAGAAACGGGUGAAAGAAGAACAGCGCGAGAUGAAAAAUAAACUUCAACGUUCCAGAGAUAAACAUGACAAUUUGCGAAAACGACUUGAUGAAGUAGAAGACCAACUGCGUGAAUUGAAGGCUGAGAGACAUAAAAAUGAGAGAGAUGCCAGAUUGUCUCAAGCAGUUGAAACUCUGAAGCAUCUGUUUCCUGGUGUUCAUGGUCGAAUGACAGAUCUUUGCAGGCCAGCACAGAAGUAGUAUAACCUUGCUGUAACAGUUGCAAUGGACAGAUAUAUGGAUGCAGUAGUAGUUGAGGAUGAACAAACAGGAAAAGAAUGCAUCAAGGUGCGAAAACAACUAUGUCAUAGUAGUGAUAUUUCUAAUAUCUAGUUAGUAGGGAUACAUUUGGUUUUGUUCGGAACUUGGUACAAAAUUUUUAUUAUGUUGUUUUCUAAUUAGUAUGUAAAAGACAUGUUUUUUUGAAAUCAAAUUUAUGCACUUCAAUUAUUUAUUAGC